CUGGGAUUGAGACUACUUUAGUUAGAGCAGGCUCUUCCAACUCAUGGCCCAUGGCCACAUGCGGCCCAGCAUGGCUGGCAAUGCAGCCACCCUUUGUUCCAUGCUAUGAAGGCAGAAGCUCCUCACUGCAGAGUGGCCCUGGACACACACUCAUUGCUCAGCAACAGCCAAACAAUCAGUGUGCCAUUAAGGCUAUGCCUAGUGAAUGAAACCAGGGCACGGGAAGAGCAGUUCUGCAUAGUGCUGACUCAAAUGAUGGGGAACGAGAACAAGACUAAGAGCAAGGCAUUUGGAGCCCCCCUCAUGGAUCUGACAAUGGAUGUAUCAUCAGGGACAACUGACAUUCCUUCUCUGCUCUGCUUUGUCAUUGCCAAAAUUAAAGGAAUAACAUGAAGCUGCAGAUACCUGCAUUAGAAGAAAAGUUGAAUGGAGGUGAUAAAGUUACUUUUCACCAGCAGUAACCAGCUGCAUUCAAAGCUAUGAAUACAUCUGCCUCCACCAAAGUGGACACUCUGGUCCAAAUCCAACAGGCUUGGCUUGCAAUGUGGACAGAAAAUGUCUCACAGCUUGAAGCAUUUCAUUUUGCUGCUUCCCCCCGCACACACCAGAGACCCAUCCGGGAGGGAGUGCAGCCAGAGUUAUCCAUUGAGGGCCUUGAAGUGACCAGAACCUGGGGGCUGAUAUCUGAGAAUUUCUGCACCCUCCUCUCUGCAGUUCCUCACUUUUUCAGUCAGUGGCUGAGCAUCCACACAGGCUGUGAGGCACAAGGUCCUUUCUCACAGCAGUUUUUAAAACACAGAGCAGGAACAAAAAGUUAUAUCCUGUCAAGGUUUUGAGAAGUUUGAGUUAUUACAGCUGAGAAUGAGAUUUCGCAACACUAGGUUCUUGCUACAGGAGACAAUGGAGGAUCUGCUGUGUCAGAAGCAAGGUAAUUCAAAUACAUACUAUUGCUUUUUCUUUGACUAGACUUCCGGAGGAAGCAAGUCAGGACUUUUGAAAAUAAAUAGUUAACAAAGCUCCAAUAAUUUCUACUUCUUAAAAUAUUUCCUAUUCUGCUUAUAAGCACUGAUAUCCUCUCUCUGGUGACAGUGUCAGGGCCCGAGGGAACGGCAUGGAGCUGUGUCACGGAAGGGGCAGCUGGGGGUGAGGGACAGGGGCUGCACCACAGGGUGGUGGGCAUGGAACGGGCUGCCCAGGGCUGUGGGCAUGGCCCCAAGUGAUGGAGUUCAAGGCGCGUCUGGACAGUGCUCUUAGACACAGGGUCCAAUUUUUGAUUGGUCCUUUGUAAAGCCAGGAGUUGGACUUCGUGAUCCUUAUGGGUCCUUUCCAACUUGAGAUAUUCUAUGAUGAUUCUAUAGAUAAAAUCUUUCUUAAUAAACCCAUUGUACCUUCUCUAUUGUCUGUAGUCAUUUAGAUUAGGUUGUAACUUCACUUUUCAAGCAUGACAAUGUCCUCCUAUGGUCCUAUCCACUUUCAUUGCCUGCUAUUUUUCCACUGGGGCUUCCUAUUUAUUUUUAGAAUUUUAAUUCUGUAAAUAUUUUCUCAGUUCCUCUCUGUGAAGUAGGCUAUGAUCUCAGGUGUGAUGACAUUAAACUGAAGUGAUU
Long non-coding RNA from Gallus gallus (chicken), 1604 nucleotides. NCBI's taxonomy places the organism in Eukaryota, Metazoa, Chordata, Aves, Galliformes, Phasianidae. The record is from Ensembl.